Molecule: non-coding RNA, 21 nt
Organism: Caenorhabditis elegans
Lineage: Eukaryota; Metazoa; Nematoda; Chromadorea; Rhabditida; Rhabditidae
Source: Ensembl
UUUACACACUUUAGUCGGGAU